UACGGGGGGGGCAAGCGUUGUUCGGAAUUACUGGGCGUAAAGGGCUCGUAGGCGGCCAACUAAGUCGGAUGUGAAAUCCCCAGGCUCAACUUGGGAACUGCAUCCGAUACUGGAUGGCUUGAAUUCGGGAGAGGGAUGCAGAAUUCCAGGUGUAGCGGUGAAAUGCGUAGAUAUCAAGAGGAAUACCUGAGGUGAAGACGGGUUGCUAGGCCGACACUGACGCUGAGUGCGCGAAAGCCAGGGGAGCAAACGGG
This 254-nucleotide ribosomal RNA is filed under the name uncultured bacterium. RNAcentral's name for it is "partial 16S ribosomal RNA". It matches the Rfam family "Bacterial small subunit ribosomal RNA", at positions 524 to 776 of the family's 1533-position model. The record is from RNAcentral.